UACAGGGGGGGCAAGCGUUGUUCGGAAUUACUGGGCGUAAAGGGCUCGUAGGCGGCCAACUAAGUCACACGUGAAAUCCCCAGGCUUAACCUGGGAACUGCGUGUGAUACUGGAUGGCUUGAAUUCGGGAGAGGGAUGCAGAAUUCCAGGUGUAGCGGUGAAAUGCGUAGAUAUCUGGAGGAACACCGGUGGCGAAGGCGGCAUCCUGGACCAACACUGACGCUGAGGAGCGAAAGCCAGGGGAGCAAACGGG
This 253-nucleotide ribosomal RNA is filed under the name uncultured bacterium. RNAcentral describes it as "partial 16S ribosomal RNA". It matches the Rfam family "Bacterial small subunit ribosomal RNA", at positions 524 to 776 of the family's 1533-position model. The record is from RNAcentral.